GCAAGGCCAAUCGCCGCCCCAAACAUCGUCGGCGCAGUCCAAUCAGAGGUCAAACUGGUUGAGAGCGGCGGGCGGGCCUUCAACAAGUUAAGACCUUUUGUCACUUAAUACCAAACGUGGAGAGUAACCAAAUAACCUAAGCUGCUGUAGGCUCAGAGGACAUCCUCCCAGGAACAGAGAUGCGAGAAGCCAGACGCACAGGCCUAAUUUCCUGUCAGAAGCACUAUCUCAAGGACUACAAGAAUGAAAAAUAAAGAACAAGCCUUUCCAAAUCUUUCUUCAAAUGGUCAUCAGAAGACAUAGCGAGAACUACAGACUUCAGUUCUGCAAAGCUAUUGCAGCCUCACAUGACAAGGACCCUCACUGCCUGCCCUCUGAUAUAACACAGUCAUAUCCACCUACGGAGCACGCAGAAGCUGAACAAUUUGUAAGCUGGUCCUACCAUUUAGAGAGUCAACUGGCCUUAACUAACAAAUUAUUGAUGACUGUGUAAUUCUCCAUCGGAUUAAUAUGUUCCAGUUAAUUAUCUUAACUACAAAGAAUUAAUGAAUGGUAUUUACACCGUGAACUUUGCUGACUCCAGAGCCUCAUCUUUCAUCAUGUAUUUGCCAAACGGAUUAAAAAGCCCCCUGGCACCGAGCAUCUCAUGCCAGUACCGGUGCUUGCAGAUUGCUCCAAGCAGCUCCUUGUCUUCUCCAUGCCAAACUGAAAAGCUGAAUCUAUUUCCUUCUCAACACAAGGGCAACUACAGUUUGCCCCAAGUUCUGCCCAGCUGGGUGGCAAUCUUGAGAUCUCUCACUAGAGCUAGACAGUAUAUUCUCCGACAGUGAUCUCAAGAAUGACAGAAGAGACCACACUCUCCAUUUUCUUACACUUCAUCUAUUUCAACUUAUGGAGGCAUACUAAAAUCAGCAUUAACGAGACAUAUUGCUGAAGUUUCUAGCUAUAAACCAAUGUACUCUGCUGAAAUAGUCCACAGUAUCCCUCCACCAUGACUCUUACCGCCACCAGCCCUUUAUUUCACAAUCUUUUCCACCUCUAUUUUAUCUUGCUCUCAAAAUUCCUUUCUUCACAUACCAUCACUUGUACAAGUUCCUUUGAGAAUUAUAUUCCAACAUAAAGUACUGAGCUAGUAAGGGAGGAUCUGUUCACACCACAGGAGUACUGCACUGUAAACAAGCAUGCUAUCAAAUGUUUUUAGACAGUGAAGUAACUGUAAUGCUUGUUCUACAAGCAGCUUAGUGCAGCUGUUCAACCUAGUACAGCCAGCCUUCUUCAGGCAUUCAAAUGGCAACAUGUCAUUUCCUCAUCCCAGCCAGCAGUGCUGCUACUUUUCUCUCACCAAGGGCAGGAAUAAGACCACAGCACAUGGGGUUCCCAGGUAAAUUUGUGUCCAAGUGCCGUGCUUGAAUAAAGCACUUCAGUAAUACUAGAAGACCUCUUUUUCUACAUCAAGUGGAAACCAAAGGGAGCAGGUCUCACCUGCCCAGUUAGAUCAGACUAGCUGCAGAGUAGAAGGUCAACAAGGAAAGAGAAAAACCUCACAUUUAGUCCCCUGAAAGCUUAGACUUCCUGUCCAAAAUGACUUAACAGUACACUAACCUUGGUGAUACCUUUUUAUUUUUAAUCAGUAGAUUCAAGCUAGAGUAGAUCAGUAACACUAGCCUUUUAGUAGUAGACCAUUUAUGAUGAGCUUAUGAUGGACUUGUUAGAGCAACACCUUCUUACACUUCAGCAAAAAUCUCCAAAAUAUUAUCAGGUAUUAUGUGCUUCCUAAUAUUUUUAGUCUUUGAUGAAGUGAAAAGUCAGGCAUUAGAAGACAGUGGAUUGAACAUUUCCAAUAAAUAUGGACGACAUGGCUGAGGGGACAUGGCCAGAAGACUGGCCUUCAUCAGGAGGGUGUUCCAGACAGAAAAAACAGAGAAGCAGAGUAUAUAAGGUUGUUUAUAGGUACUGAAUCAAGACACCACUUCUCAGCCUACAAGACCAGAGAAACAAUUCCAGUAGUGCACAGCUGAAAGGUGCUGUUGACUAAUUUCCCAAAGCCCCUGGGCUCCCCAGCUCUCUCUCACCGCCACUUGCUACAUUCAUUGCGGUCUCCUACAUCUCCUUCUGUCCACCUCCUGUGCAGUGCCACUAGCUCUUUCUUCCUAGGGUGAGAAUUACAGCAAGGCCAGCAAAAUAUCCUGGAGGGCAGUAUGAAAGAAAAUUAAGAACCACUACAACAUAUUGAUUUUGUUUCCUAAGUACAUUUGUUUAAAUAUUACAUAUUCAAACCAUAAAUUUCUUUAAUGUAUAGCACGAGCUGAUUAAAUCAGCGCCACAUCUAUUACACUCAAAAGCAUUUCAGAGGCAAACUAAAUGAGCCCAUGGGAGGGGAGACCUUCACCAUGGGAGUUCACUUUGCCUGAGGACAGCACAGCCAAAGUGCCACUGGAGCCUCAAGUAGAAACAAGGGAAAGCUGGCACUACUGCUGGAAGAAGCACUCUUGUUAUCCCUGAGCCACUCUUUUCCACCCUCUUGCUGGCACAAAGGCGGUAAACCAACCCCAAUUAAAACUUAGCCAAAAAAAAGGAAAGUUUAGUUUUAACCCACAUCAGUCCCUUGAUUGGGUUUACCAUGCAAAGUCUUCUGUCAACAAAGAGCGGAAAAAAAGCUGUCAGAGGCAGAACUGCUUCUUGAGCAGAAGUGCCAGCUUACCCCACAUUAAACUGCUUCUGCAAGAACUGUACAAGAGAAGCACAGGGAACAUUUGGUGUCUAGAUGAUUUCAAGCUCUCAUAUGGAACAGUGUGCACUUUGAACCUAAGGACUUAAAACCACCCCAGCCUCAAAAAAUCCAAGCAAAGUGCCUUGAAGAAAGUACAGAAGAUGUUCACUCCUUUCUUUCCACUGGAGUAAA
Numida meleagris (helmeted guineafowl) is the source of this 2902-nucleotide long non-coding RNA. RefSeq lists it as uncharacterized. The transcript is spliced from 4 exons. Lineage: Eukaryota; Metazoa; Chordata; Aves; Galliformes; Numididae. The record is from RefSeq and is a predicted model, not a curated record.